This 497-nucleotide ribosomal RNA is filed under the name uncultured bacterium. Its description in RNAcentral is "partial 16S ribosomal RNA". It matches the Rfam family "Bacterial small subunit ribosomal RNA", at positions 28 to 507 of the family's 1533-position model. The record is from RNAcentral.
GAUGAACGCUGGCGGCGUGCCUAAUACAUGCAGGUCGAGCGAACAGACGAGGAGCUUGCUCCUCUGAUGUUAGCGGCGGACGGGUGAGUAACACGUGGAUAACCUACCUAUAAGACUGGGAUAACUUCGGGAAACCGGAGCUAAUACCGGAUAACAUGUUGAACCGCAUGGUUCAACAGUGAAAGACGGUCUUGCUGUCACUUAUAGAUGGAUCCGCGCCGCAUUAGCUAGUUGGUAAGGUAACGGCUUACCAAGGCAACGAUGCGUAGCCGACCUGAGAGGGUGAUCGGCCACACUGGAACUGAGACACGGUCCAGACUCCUACGGGAGGCAGCAGUAGGGAAUCUUCCGCAAUGGGCGAAAGCCUGACGGGGCAACGCCGCGUGAGUGAAGAAGGUCUUCGGAUCGUAAAACUCUGUUAUUAGGGAAGAACAAAUGUGUAAGUAACUAUGCACGUCUUGACGGUACCUAAUCAGAAAGCCACGGCUAACUACGUG